AUGUUUCUAUUAUAAAAAGUAAGUUUAAUUUCCAAUUAAAUAGUCCCUAGUGGGGAAAUAUA
RNAcentral lists this transfer RNA (62 nucleotides) under Sminthurus viridis. Its description in RNAcentral is "tRNA-Gly". Lineage: Eukaryota; Metazoa; Arthropoda; Collembola; Symphypleona; Sminthuridae. The record is from RNAcentral.